CUGGAAAACACUUAAUAAAGCACAAGCAAGCAAAUGAGUCCGCAGGCAAGGCGGAAAACGAGUUCAUGAAAGGAGUUGACGAUGUGUUUUGUCAGGGAUCCCCUCGCGAGUCUGACAAACACCCAGCAGUUUCCUCGCCUCGAUUUCCGGCUCACGAGGGUGAAGACGCAGCACGUUGGUGGGAAUAAGAUGACUGGCAGUGUAGAUAAAUAGCCCCUGCACUUCUCACCAACCCUUCAACGGAAAUUACAGAGGGUGAAAUGGAGGCUCGCCGUUUAGCUGAAAUGCCACGUCGGUGUUUGGAGCCCGUGGGGCACAGAGAGGACGAGGCGAGUUGGGGGUUUGUGCCCUGCUUUCAGGAGGAUGUAGGUGGUGAAACAGCAUCAUGUGCCCAACCCGACGACUGCAAAUGGCUCCAAUGUCUUGCGUCCCAAUUAUACUCCAGAAGGUGGUGGCAUCCACUUUGUGAUAGCUUGUCUGCCAACAAGCCCGGGGAAGACAACGUUUUCUUGCCAACUUUGACUCAACCUACCUCCUACAAUAUCUCCUACGAAAUCUGUGCAUUGCAGUUGUGCUGUGAGAUUCAUAUCAUCUCUGUACAGAGCACGAGAAAAACAACAGAGACUGAAAGAGCUUUCCAAGCCAUAUGUACUGUAGGCAUGGAUGGAGAGCCUUUAUAUGCCAUAUACUAUAUGCUGUAGGCAUGGAUAAAUUUGCUUCCGUUAGUUAGAAAUCACCUUUGGAAGACCUCGUGGUAGCUGUCAGGUCGGGACAUGAAGGAAUGAUAAUCCA
This is a long non-coding RNA of Brienomyrus brachyistius, 792 nucleotides long. RefSeq lists it as uncharacterized. Lineage: Eukaryota; Metazoa; Chordata; Actinopteri; Osteoglossiformes; Mormyridae. The transcript is spliced from 3 exons. The record is from RefSeq and is a predicted model, not a curated record.